GCUCCUCGGGCCUGGCCGCCCUCAGCGCCCCGCACCGCAUUGCCAGGGCCCUGCCUGGGCGCGGAGACCGGGGGCUGCGAGGGACCCCCGACAUUUCCCGCCUGAAACGCCUCGUCCGGUCUUUCAGCCCAAAUCCACGGUCCCGACGCCACAGGGCGCGCGACACGGCCCUGUGCCCCCAGCCGAGGAACGAGCCUUUUUAUACUAAACUGCAGUGGUCUCUUGGAUGGAGGGAAGCAGAGAAGAUACCUAGGAUGCCAUACAAAUGCAGGAGGGAAGGGAAAUUUUGUGCAGGAACGUCAAGCAAACCCUAAGACCUACAAAACGCACAGCGGACUGUAAGAGGAUUUCUUUCGUUUGAGGAAUCUGUUGAUAUCACAUUGACACAUCCCUGGAAGGCAGUCACCCUGAGGAAGAAGCACUGCAGUUAUUGAACUACAUUUAGCAGUGAUACAAGACAGCAAAAGGAAUCUGCAGGGUGAAUUCAAGUAGAGAAGGACUUCACUCAGUCAAAGUCUACCCAGGACUCCACAGUUUACACCAAAGGAGAUGUCAGAAAGCUUUAGUAACUAAAUAUCUUUGC
Long non-coding RNA from Alligator sinensis (Chinese alligator), 583 nucleotides. RefSeq lists it as uncharacterized. Lineage: Eukaryota; Metazoa; Chordata; Crocodylia; Alligatoridae. The record is from RefSeq and is a predicted model, not a curated record. The transcript has 3 exons.